This 76-nucleotide transfer RNA is filed under the name Aquariibacter albus. Its description in RNAcentral is "tRNA-Thr". It matches the Rfam family "tRNA". Rfam says of the family: Transfer RNA (tRNA) molecules are approximately 80 nucleotides in length. Their secondary structure includes four short double-helical elements and three loops (D, anti-codon, and T loops). Further hydrogen bonds mediate the characteristic L-shaped molecular structure. tRNAs have two regions of fundamental functional importance: the anti-codon, which is responsible for specific mRNA codon recognition, and the 3' end, to which the tRNAs corresponding amino acid is attached (by aminoacyl-tRNA synthetases). tRNAs cope with the degeneracy of the genetic code in two manners: having more than one tRNA (with a specific anti-codon) for a particular amino acid; and 'wobble' base-pairing, i.e. permitting non-standard base-pairing at the 3rd anti-codon position. Lineage: Bacteria; Pseudomonadati; Pseudomonadota; Betaproteobacteria; Burkholderiales; Sphaerotilaceae. The record is from RNAcentral.
GCCGGCUUAGCUCAGUUGGUAGAGCAGCUGCCUUGUAAACAGCAGGUCGUCCGUUCGAUUCGGACAGUCGGCACCA